This 6543-nucleotide long non-coding RNA is filed under the name Salmo salar (Atlantic salmon). Its description in RNAcentral is "lncRNA (ENSSSAG00000091848.1)". The record is from RNAcentral. Lineage: Eukaryota; Metazoa; Chordata; Actinopteri; Salmoniformes; Salmonidae.
GAGAGGGACAGAUGGGAGCAGUCCAUUCUAGCCAAGCCCCAUCCUCCAGGCCAGGGAAGGGCCUAUAAGGUGGGUGGGUGGGGUUUGGAUCUAAUGAUGUUCCAAUAUCCACACUAGAACACCUCUUCCAUUCUAUAAUGUAUUCUAGAACACCUCUUCCAUUCUAUAAUGUAUUCUAGAACACCUCUUCUGUUCUAUAAUGUAUUCUAGAACACCUCUUCUGUUCUAUAGUGUAUUCUAGAACACCUAUUCUGUUCUAUAAUGUAUUCUAGAACACCUCUUCUGAUCUAUAAUGUAUUCUAGAACACCUCUUCUGUUCUAUAAUGUAUUCUAGAACACCUCUUCUGUUCUAUAAUGUAUUCUAGAACACCUCUUCUGUUCUAUAGUGUAUUCUAUAUCACCUCUUCUGUUCUAUGACGUAAUCUAGAACACCUCUUCUGUUCUAUAAUGUAUUCUAGAACACCUCUUCUGUUCUAUAACGUAUUCUAGAACACCUCUUCUGUUCUAUAACGUAUUCUAGAACACCUCUUCCGUUCUGUAACCUAUUCUUAAAUACAUUGCUUCAUUCUAAGUAGUAUGUCACUGGACAGAAGUAGAGCAACAGCUGGGUUUUUACAUACCAACAGGUGUUUAUACUAGACACUAGUCCUCCACCAGAAACAUGACAUUGAGACUGUUCCAGAGUGCGAAUUACAAGGGGGGGGGGCCUAAAUCCAACUAUGGGGGAGGAGAGGGUCUCUAAAUAAUGCUAAUAGUAAUUUCCAUGUAAAAGGGCCCACGAGCACCAAGAGGGCCCACGAGCACCAAUAGGGCCCACGAGCACCAAUAGGGCCCACGAGCACCAACAGGGCCAACAGGGCCCACGAGCACCAACAGGGCCCAUCAGCACCAACAGGGCCCAUGACCACCAACAGGGCCAACAGGGCCCACGAGCACCAACAGGGCCAACAGGGCCCACGAGCACCAACAGGGCCAACAGGGCCUACGAGCACCAACAGGGCCAACAGGGCCUACGAGCACCAACAGGGCCCACGAGCACCAACAGGGCCCACGAGCACCAACAGGGCCAACAGGGCCCACGAGCACCAACAGGGCCUAUCAGCACCAACAGGGCCCAUGACCACCAACAGGGCCAACAGGGCCCACGAGCACCAACAGGGCCAACAGGGCUCACGAGCACCAACAGGGCCAACAGGGCCUACGAGCACCAACAGGGCCAACAGGGCCUACGAGCACCAACAGGGCCCACGAGCACCAACAGGGCCCAUCAGCACCAACAGGGCCCAUGAGCACCAACAGGGCCAACAGGGCCUAUGAGCACCAACAGGGCCCAUCAGCACCAACAGGGCCCAUGAGCACCAACAGGGCCAUCAGGGCCCACGAGCACCAACAGGGCCCAUCAGCACCAACAGGGCCCAUCAGCACCAACAGGGCCCACGAGCACCAACAGGGCAACAGGGCUUACGAGCACCAACAGGGCCAACAGGGCCCACGAGCAUUAACAGGGCCUAUGAGCACCAACAGGGCCCACGAGCACCAACAGGGCCCACGAGCACCAACAGGGCCCAUCAGCACCAACAGGGCCCAUCAGCACCAACAGGGCCAACAGGGCCCAUGAGCACCAACAGGGCCCAUCAGCACCAACAGGGCCCAUGAGCACCAACAGGGCCAACAGGGCCCAUGAGCACCAACAGGGCCCAUCAGCACCAACAGGGCCAACAGGGCCUACGAGCACCAACAGGGCCAACAGGGCCUACGAGUACCAACAGGGCCCAUCAGCACCAACAGGCCCAUCAGCACCAACAGGGUCAACAGGGCCCAUCAGCACCAACAGGCCCAUCAGCACCAAUAGGGCCAACAGGGCCUACGAGUACCAACAGGGCCCAUGAGCACCAACAGGGCCCAUCAGCACCAACAGGGCCAACAGGGCCCAUCAGCACAAAUAGGGCCAACAGGGCCCACGAGCACCAACAGGGCCAACAGGAUCCAUCAGCACCAUCAGGGCCCACGAGCACCAACAGGGCCCACGAGCACCAACAGGGCCCAUCAGCACAAAUAGAGCCAACAGGGUCCAUCAGCACAAAUAGGGCCAACAGGGCCCACGAGCACCAAAAGGGUCCAUGAGCACUAACACAGCAGCCGUGUCAAAUUGGAGGUCAAAUGAAAGCUAAGAGCCGAGCCCCCCCCCCCCAUCCUAUAAAUGAUGAAUAAACAAAGACUUUGAUUUCUGGUCAAACAGAUGGAAACGGGGUCUUAGAAAACAUCUCUCAGAAACACCCUUACAAGGUGUUAUAAAUACAGCAAUCAAUCCAAUGUAUUUAUAAAGCCAUCAGCUGAUAUCACAAAGUGCUGUACAGAAACCCAGCCUAAAACCCCCAAACAGCAAGUAAUGCAGAUGUAGAAGCACGGUGGCUAGGAAAAAAACUCCCUAGAAAGGCCCGAGAACCUAGGAAGAAACCUAGAGAGGAACCAGGCUAUGAGGGGUGGCCAGUCCUCUUCUGGCUGUGCCAGGUGUAGAUUAUAACAGAACAUGGCCAAGAUGUUCAAACGUUCAUAAAUGACCAGCAGGGUCAAAUAAUAAUAAUCACAGUAGCUGUAGAGGGUGCAACAGGUCAGCACCUCAGGAGUAAAUGUCAGUUGGCUUUUCAUAACCGAUCAUUCAGAGUUAGAGAGAGCAGGUGCUGUAGAGAAAGAGAGGUAGAGACGGCAGGUGCGGUAGAGCGAGAGAGAGGUAGAGACAGCAGGUGCGGUAGAGAGAGAGAGGGUACAGUAGAGUACAGUAGAGUUCAGUACAGUAGAGUUCAGUAGAGUUCAGUAGAGUAGAGUAGAGUAGAGUUUAGUAAAGUACAGUAGAGUACAGUAGAGUUCAGUACAGUAGAGUUCAGUAGAGUAGAGUUCAAUAGAGUUCAGUAGAGUUCAGUAGAGUAGAGUUCAGUAGAGAUCAGUCGAGUUCAGUAGAGUUCAGUAGAGUAGAGUUCAGUAGAGAUCAGUAGAGUUCAGUAGAGUAGAGUUCAAUAGAGUUCAGUAGAGUAGAGUUCAAUAGAGUUCAGUAGAGUAGAGUUCAGUAGAGUAGAGUACAGUAGAGUUUAGUAAAGUACAGUAGAGUUCAGUACAGUAGAGUUCAGUAGAGUAGAGUACAGUAGAGUACAGUUGAGUUCAGUACAGUAGAGUUCAGUAGAGUAAAGUACAGUAGAGUACAUUAGAGUUCAGUAGAGUAGAGUUCAGUAGAGUAGAGUAUAUUAGAGUUCAGUAGAGUAGAGUUCAGUAGAGUAGAGUACAUUAGAGUUCAGUUCAGUAGAGUUCAGUACAGUACAGUAGAGUUCAGUACAGUAGAGUUCAGUAGAGUAGAGUACAGUAGAGUUCAGUACAGUAGAGUACAGUACAGUAGAGUUCAGUGGAGUUGAGUACAGUAGAGUUGAGUUGAGUACAGUAGAGUUCAGUACAGUAGAGUACAGUACAGUGCAGUACAGUAGAGUUCAGUACAGUAGAGUAGUGUACAGUAGAGUUCAGUGGAGUUGAGUACAGUAGAGUUCAGUACAGUAGAGUUCAGUACAUUAGAGUUCAGUAGAGUUCAGUAGAGUACAUUAGAGUACAGUAGAGUUCAGUAGAGUAGAGUACAUUAGAGUUCAGUAGAGUAGAGUUCAGUAGAGUAGAGUACAGUAGAGUUCAUUACAGUACAGCACAGUAGAGUACAGUAGGGUUUAAUACAAUACAUUACACACAAUAGUUUAAUACAGUACAGUACACAGUAGAGUUUAAUACAGUACAGUACACAGUAGAGCACAUGAGUUAAGUGCAACUGUACUGUACAUUUUAGUCAUUUAGCAGACGCUCUUAUCCAGAGCGACUUACAGUAGUGAAUGCAUACAUUUCAUACAUUUAAAAAAAAAAAUCGUACUGGUCCCCCGUGGGAAUCGAACCCACAACCCUGGCGUUGCAAACACCAUGCUCUACCAACUGAGCCACAUGGGACUGUACUGUGCUGUAUUCUACUGUUCUGUAAUGUACUGUAUUCUACUGUACUGUAAUGUACUGUAUUCUACUGUACUGUACUGUAUUCUACUGUACUGUACUGUAUUCUACUGUUAUUUACUGUACUGUAUUCUACUGUACUGACCUGUAUUCUACUGUACUGACCUGUAUUCUAGUGUACUGUUCUGUACUCUACUGUACUGUACUGUAUUCUACUGUACUGUACUGUACUGUAUUCUACUGUUAUUUACUGUACUACAUUCUACUGUACUGUACUGUACUGUACUGUAUUAUACUGUUCUGUACUGUACUGUAUUCUACUGUAUUCUACUGGACAGUACUGUAUUAUUCUGUUCUGUACUGUACUGUAUUCUACUGUUCUGUACUGUACUGUACUCUGCUGUUCUGUUCUGUACUGUACUGUACUGUAUUCUACUGUAUUCUACUGUACUCUGCUGUACUGUACUGUAUUCCACUGUUCUGUUCUGUACUGUAUUCUACUGUACUGUUCUGAAUUCCAUUGUAUUCUACUGUUCUGUUCUGUACUCUACUGUACUGUACUGUAUUCUACUGUACUGUACUGUACUGUACUGUACUGUACUGUACUGUAUUCUACUGUUAUUUACUGUACUACAUUCUACUGUAUUGUACUGUACUACAUUCUACUGUACUAUACUGUACUCUACUGUUAUUUACUGCCCUGAAUUCUACUGUUCUGUACUGUACUGUAUUCUACUGUACUGUACUGUAUUAUUCUGUUCUGUACUGUACUGUAUUAUUCUGUUCUGUACUGUACUGUAUUCUACUGUACUGUUCUGUAUUCCACUGUAUUCUACUGAUCUGUUCUGUACUCUACUGUACUGUACUGUAUUCUACUGUUCUGUACUGUAUUCUACUGUAUUCUACUGUACUGUAUUCUACUGUUAUGUUCUGUACUCUACUGUACUGUACUGUAUUCUACUGUUCUGUACUGUAUUCUACUGUAUUCUACUGUACUGUAUUCUACUGUUCUGUACUGUUCUGUACUCUACUGUUCUGUAUUGUAUUCUACUGUACUGUACUGUAUUCUACUGUACUGUACUGUAUUCUACUGUUCUGUACUGCUCUGUACUCUACUGUUCUGUAUUGUAUUCUACUGUACUGUACUGUAUUCUACUGUUCUGUACUGUAUUCUACUGUACUGUAUUCUACUGUAUUCUACUGUACUGUAUUCUACUGUUCUGUACUGUUCUGUACUCUACUGUUCUGUACUGUAUUCUACUGUACUGUACUGUAUUCCACUGUAUUCUACUGUUCUGUACUCAACUAUAUUGUACUGUAUUCUACUGUAUUCUACUGUACUCUGCUGUACUGUACUGUAUUCUACUGUUCUGUUCUGUACUGUAAUGUAUUCUACUGUUCUGUACUGUACUGUAUUCUACUGUAUUCUACCAUACUCUGCUGUACUGUACUGUACUGUAUUCUACUGUAUUCCACUGUACUGUACUGUAUUCUACUGUUCUGUUCUGUACUGUAAUGUAUUCUACUGUUCUGUACUGUACUGUAUUCUACUGUAUUCUACCAUACUCUGCUGUACUGUACUGUACUGUAUUCUACUGUAUUCCACUGUACUGUACUGUAUUCUACUGUACUGUACUGUAUUCUACUGUAUUCUACUCUAUUCUACAGUAUUCUACUGUUCUGUACUGUACUGUAUUCUACUGUUCUGUACUGUAUUCUACUGUAUUGUACUGUGCUGUAUUCUACUGUACUGUACUGUAUUCUACUGUACUGUACUCUAUUCUACUGUUCUGUACUGUAUUCUACUGUAUUCUACAGUACUUUAUUCUACUGUAUUCUACUGUAUUCUACUGUUCUGUUCUGUUCUUUGAUGUCCAAACUUGUGAAACAUAGACUUGUAUGAUUGGUUCAGAUUUUGUCCCGUGAUGAUAUUCCCCCGGGGGGAGUCAUACGUUUUAAGAGAUGGUUUAAACCAUGUUUUUCCCACGUGGCUGCACUUGUCAUCCUGGGACAGUCCCGUAACUCAGCCACUUGUCAUCCUGGGACAGUCCCGUAACUCAGCCACUUGUCAUCCUGGGACAAUCCCGUACCUCAGCCACUUGUCAUCCUGGGACAGUCCCGUACCUCAGCCACUUGUCAUCCUGGGACAAUCCCGUACCUCAGCCACUUGUCAUCCUGGGACAGUCCCGUACCUCAGCCCGUUUUCAAGUGUCCCAACUUUUCUUUCUACAAAAAAAGGUAAUUUUGGCAGCAAGACGCACACGUUAAUUUAGGCUACAAGAGAGUGUAGAUUCAAUGACAAUCACCGAACGUCAUUCCACUUCUUGGUGUUUUGUUCCAGAUGUCUCUUUCCGUUCCUCUAAUGGCUGGUGCGCUGUCUGGAUGCUGGAGUUAUUUUAGAGAAAUUAAAAAUGAAAAGUUAAUAAAAAAAAAUCUUUACUGUUAAAUUACUUUUUUUUUUAUCCCCCCCCGAAUGUCACAUUAUAAUUCGCACUCUGGAUUGUUCAAUUCAUUUGAAGAAUUAGAAAUGAAUUGAAUUCAAAAUUAAUCUCCUGAAUUGAUUGGAGUGAA